Molecule: ribosomal RNA, 432 nt
Filed under: uncultured bacterium
Lineage: Bacteria
Description: partial 16S ribosomal RNA
Rfam family: Bacterial small subunit ribosomal RNA
Source: RNAcentral
AACGAACGCUGGCGGCAUGCCUAACACAUGCAAGUCGAACGAGACCUUCGGGUCUAGUGGCGCACGGGUGCGUAACGCGUGGGAACCUGCCCUUAGGUUCGGAAUAACUCCCCGAAAGGGGUGCUAAUACCGGAUAAUGUCUUCGGACCAAAGAUUUAUCGCCUUUGGAUGGGCCCGCGUUGGAUUAGCUAGUUGGUAGGGUAAAAGCCUACCAAGGCGACGAUCCAUAGCUGGUCUGAGAGGAUGAUCAGCCACACUGGGACUGAGACACGGCCCAGACUCCUGCGGGAGGCAGCAGUGGGGAAUAUUGGACAAUGGGCGAAAGCCUGAUCCAGCAAUGCCGCGUGAGUGAUGAAGGCCUUAGGGUUGUAAAGCUCUUUUACCCGGGAUGAUAAUGACAGUACCGGGAGAAUAAGCUCCGGCUAACUCCGG